RNAcentral lists this long non-coding RNA (354 nucleotides) under Heterocephalus glaber (naked mole-rat). RNAcentral describes it as "lncRNA (ENSHGLG00000039838.1)". Lineage: Eukaryota; Metazoa; Chordata; Mammalia; Rodentia; Bathyergidae. The record is from RNAcentral.
CUUGAAUUAGCUAUCAAAAACAUUUCUCGGUGUCCACGUCUAGUUGCUGCAGGUGAGGUCGCCCAAGCCUGACAGGUGGGAGCUGCUCGCACCCGGCAGUGGCGGGGGUGUGGCGGAGCAGGCCAGUGGAGACUGCGACGAUGAAGACGAAGACGGCUGUGAGGGAUCGGGCCGUGGAGAGGCCGGGCGGGCUGCGGAAACCCCACGCUGUUGAAAUUGGUUGUCGUUAUGAAAAUCAGCUUGUUCAGCUAUCAAGUAUUUCUGGAUUUCAUUUCCCUGGUUGUAAAAGAGAGCUUGAAGCUCUGUGGUGGACGGAUUUCUCUUCUCCUGGACAAGGCACUUCAGGAUGUUCUG